GACGAACGCUGGCGGCGUGCUUAACACAUGCAAGUCGAACGGAAAGGCCCUGCUUUUGUGGGGUGCUCGAGUGGCGAACGGGUGAGUAACACGUGAGUAACCUGCCCUUGACUUUGGGAUAACUUCAGGAAACUGGGGCUAAUACCGGAUAGGAGCUCCUGCUGCAUGGUGGGGGUUGGAAAGUUUCGGCGGUUGGGGAUGGACUCGCGGCUUAUCAGCUUGUUGGUGGGGUAGUGGAUUACCAAGGCUUUGACGGGUAGCCGGCCUGCGAGGGUGACCGGCCACAUUGGGACUGAGAUACGGCCCAGACUCCUACGGGAGGCAGCAGUGGGGAAUAUUGCACAAUGGGCGGAAGCCUGAUGCAGCAACGCAGCGUGCGGGAUGACGGCCUUCGGGUUGUAAACCGCUUUCGCCUGUGACGAAGCGUGAGUGACGGUAAUGGGUAAAGAAGCACCGGCUAACUACGUG
RNAcentral lists this ribosomal RNA (468 nucleotides) under uncultured bacterium. RNAcentral's name for it is "partial 16S ribosomal RNA". It matches the Rfam family "Bacterial small subunit ribosomal RNA", at positions 28 to 507 of the family's 1533-position model. The record is from RNAcentral.